Molecule: ribosomal RNA, 464 nt
Filed under: uncultured bacterium
Lineage: Bacteria
Description: bacterial SSU rRNA
Rfam family: Bacterial small subunit ribosomal RNA
Source: RNAcentral
GGUAAUACGGAAGGUCCGGGCGUUAUCCGGAAUUAUUGGGUUUAAAGGGAGCGCAGGCGGGAGUAUAAGUCAGCUGUUAAAUAUCAGGGCCCAACUCUGUUAUGCAGUUGAAACUAUAUUUCUUGAGUACGCACAGGGAUGGCGGAAUUCAGGGUGUAGCGGUGAAAUGCUUAGAUAUCCUGAAGAACUCCGAUCGCGAAGGCAGCCAUCCGGAGCGUAACUGACGYUGAGGCUCGAAAGUGUGGGUAUCAAACAGGAUUAGAUACCCUGGUAGUCCACACAGUAAACGAUGUAUACUCGCGGUUUGCGAUAGAGUGUAAGCCGCCAAGCGAAAGCAUUAAGUAUACCACCUGGGGAGUACGCCGGCAACGGUGAAACUCAAAGGAAUUGACGGGGGCCCGCACAAGCGGAGGAACAUGUGGUUUAAUUCGAUGAUACGCGAGGAACCUUACCCGGGCUUGAAC